Molecule: non-coding RNA, 555 nt
Organism: Rhinolophus ferrumequinum (greater horseshoe bat)
Lineage: Eukaryota; Metazoa; Chordata; Mammalia; Chiroptera; Rhinolophidae
Source: the annotation of a RefSeq genome assembly
GCUACAUCCCCCGUUCAUCAACACACAGACCGAGAAGACCCCUCUGUCUGCCCUGCCCCUGCCAUGAGUGUCAGCCUCCUGUGCUGUGUGGCUUCUUAUCUCCUGCAGGCAGGUCUGGUGGAUGCUGGUGUCACUCAGAACCCAAAAUUCCAGAUCCUGAAAACAGGACAGAAAGUGACACUGACCUGUGACCAGAAUAUGAGCCACAACUACAUGUGCUGGUAUCGACAAGACCCGGGCCACGGGCUGAGGCUGAUCCAUUACUCAAUCGCUGCUGGGACCACCAACGAAGGAGAUGUCCCCGAGGGCUACAAUGUCUCCAGAUCAAACACAGAGAACUUCCCCCUCACGCUGAAGUCAGCUACCCCCUCCCAGACAUCUGUGUACUUCUGUGCCAGCAGUUACGCCACAGCGCUGCACGGCCGCCUCCUCUCUGCACAAAAAGGCAGGGGGAGGCCCAGCGUCCUGGACCCAGUGAAGCCUGUGCAGCCUCAACUCCUGCUCUGGGAGUCUCAGAGCCCUGAACGGCCUGUCAUGCAGAGUGAAACUCGGUGA